GGAGGGUUCGAUUCUGGCUCAGGAUGAACGCUGGCGGCGUGCCUAAUACAUGCAAGUCGAGCGAACAGACAAGGAGCUUGCUCCUUUGACGUUAGCGGCGGACGGGUGAGUAACACGUGGGUAACCUACCUAUAAGACUGGGAUAACUUCGGGAAACCGGAGCUAAUACCGGAUAAUAUUUCGAACCGCAUGGUUCGAUAGUGAAAG
Molecule: ribosomal RNA, 207 nt
Filed under: Ditylum brightwellii
Lineage: Eukaryota; Bacillariophyta; Thalassiosirophyceae; Lithodesmiales; Lithodesmiaceae
Description: partial Bacterial small subunit ribosomal RNA
Rfam family: Bacterial small subunit ribosomal RNA
Source: RNAcentral